UACAGAGGGUGCAAGCGUUAAUCGGAAUUACUGGGCGUAAAGCGCGCGUAGGUGGUUCGUUAAGUUGGAUGUGAAAUCCCCGGGCUCAACCUGGGAACUGCAUUCAAAACUGUCGAGCUAGAGUAUGGUAGAGGGUGGUGGAAUUUCCUGUGUAGCGGUGAAAUGCGUAGAUAUAGGAAGGAACACCAGUGGCGAAGGCGACCGCCUGGACUGAUACUGACACUGAGGUGCGAAAGCGUGGGGAGCAAACAGG
RNAcentral lists this ribosomal RNA (253 nucleotides) under uncultured bacterium. RNAcentral describes it as "partial 16S ribosomal RNA". It matches the Rfam family "Bacterial small subunit ribosomal RNA", at positions 524 to 776 of the family's 1533-position model. The record is from RNAcentral.